AAGGAAAUAGCUCAGUGGUAUAGCACAUGCUUAGCAGGCAUGAGGUCCUGGGUUCAAUCCCCAUUGCCUCC
RNAcentral lists this transfer RNA (71 nucleotides) under Camelus bactrianus (Bactrian camel). It matches the Rfam family "tRNA". Rfam says of the family: Transfer RNA (tRNA) molecules are approximately 80 nucleotides in length. Their secondary structure includes four short double-helical elements and three loops (D, anti-codon, and T loops). The record is from Rfam by way of RNAcentral. Lineage: Eukaryota; Metazoa; Chordata; Mammalia; Artiodactyla; Camelidae. RNAcentral also lists the same sequence under 2 other names.